CUACGUGCCAGCAGCCGCGGUAAUACGGAGGGUGCGAGCGUUAAUCGGAAUAACUGGGCGUAAAGGGCACGCAGGCGGUGACUUAAGUGAGGUGUGAAAGCCCCGGGCUUAACCUGGGAAUUGCAUUUCAUACUGGGUCGCUAGAGUACUUUAGGGAGGGGUAGAAUUCCACGUGUAGCGGUGAAAUGCGUAGAGAUGUGGAGGAAUACCGAAGGCGAAGGCAGCCCCUUGGGAAUGUACUGACGCUCAUGUGCGAAAGCGUGGGGAGCAAACAGGAUUAGAUACCCUGGUAGUCCACGCUGUAAACGCUGUCGAUUUGGGGAUUGGGCUUUAAGCUUGGUGCCCGUAGCUAACGUGAUAAAUCGACCGCCUGGGGAGUACGGCCGCAAGGUUAAAACUCAAAUGAAUUGACGGGGGCCCGCACAAGCGGUGGAGCAUGUGGUUUAAUUCGAUGCAACGCGAAGAACCUUACCUACUCUUGACAUCCAGAGAACAUUC
This 498-nucleotide ribosomal RNA is filed under the name uncultured bacterium. Its description in RNAcentral is "bacterial SSU rRNA". It matches the Rfam family "Bacterial small subunit ribosomal RNA", at positions 501 to 1000 of the family's 1533-position model. The record is from RNAcentral.